Molecule: long non-coding RNA, 1799 nt
Organism: Xyrauchen texanus (razorback sucker)
Lineage: Eukaryota; Metazoa; Chordata; Actinopteri; Cypriniformes; Catostomidae
Exons: 6
Source: RefSeq, a predicted model, not a curated record
CCGGUUUUUCCUCCGUCAUUGGGUUUAUGUCCUUGGUCAUCUGAAGUGUUUUUAUUUUAAACUCGUUCACCGGAGCAGACGUCUGUGCAGGGCGACUGUGAGUUUCUGGUGAAACGCGCGCGGGGGCUUGUGACACUGGAUCCGUAUGGCGCAAAAGCCUGUGUCAUCACCGCGCCCCCUACCCCACAGACUUCAACAUAAUACAGACAAUAAAUAAAUUAUGCAUAUAUGUAUUCAUAUACAUGCAGAUGAUACUGUACUCCACAAACUUUAACAUACUGUACAGAUAAUAGUCAUGCAUAUGACCUCACUGCACACAUAAUUCAUAUGGAUGACGUCAGUCCUCAUGCAUGACUCUCUGUAUGCGUACACCUAAUAGACCUCAUGCAUAUGAAGCAUCGAGUGGAACGCAGAGAGGAUGGCAUCUGCCAGCUGACUCCUUUAUGACAUAUUCAUGAAUUUCCCGGAGCAGCCGGUGGUUUGGCGUGAGAUUGCUGUGAUAACGGCUGCGUUACGAACAGUCUGGACAAACAUGCACAGUUUCUCUGAAAGAUGCCACUAAAGUGUGCGUUUGAGUUUAUCGUGUACCGUUGUUGAGAUAAAUAUAUGUUUGCAUCAGUUACUGGUUUCUUGUGUGUUUGUAGGUGUUUUUGAGACUAUUCCCGGUCCAGUGUAAGAUGCUCUUGAGGGCCACAGAACAGUGUUUCAACACACUGGAGAAAGCUGAGAUGCUGCUGCUGUUAUUGAAGAGAUUCCCAGAGUCUGUAGUUCAACACGGAGAUGUGACCUUCUAGCAUUAAUCCAGAAAUGUGUCUUCCUGCCGGUCUGCUGAAUAAAUACAUGCACAAAGCUGCAGAUGUGACGUCACACGGAAGCCCUCAGCGGACAGAUACAGGCCGCACAGGAAGUGGGCGGUCUGAAGUCUCCACGGUGGGGGCGGGGUCAGCGUCAUGUGAUUGACGGGCUGUCAGAGGAGUCGUCAGUGGUGACGGAACCGUGGGAGUGGCUGCUGGAGAUGGUGGGCGUGGUCGGCUCGCUCUGUGAUUGGCAGGGAGAGAAAGGAAGCAGAUAUGAAACGCUUUUCCAGGGUUGGAGGAGGGUUCAUUUAUCAACAUAAGGACGUAAACACGUUAUAUUUUUAAGUAUCUGCAUAACUCAAAUUGGGGCUGGCGGUAUUAUGGUAUGUACCAUGCAACUGUAAAAUGUGUCAACUGGUAGAAUUUGUUGUAUUAUUUGACUGUGGUAGAUGUGUUUACACUGUAAUUAUUAGGGAUGGAAUGAUAUAUCUCAUUUCAAUAUAUCGCAAACCAAAAAAAUGACAAACCAUAUUGUAGCAUAUCUCGAUAUUUCAAAUUUCCGCCAUUGUUUUCUGUCCAUGUGAUCAUAAAUGAAACAACCCGUCAAACUUCAAAAUCUCUUUUGAGUUUUUAUCUACACUGUUUACAGGGUUCACACAAGAUCCUUAAAGUGCUUUUAGAAAUAUAAGUGCUGGAAUACCUGGAACAUCACCUUGUUUUGAGGAAAAGUGCUUGAGCUUAAAUAAGAUCGUUGCCUCCGUGUAAUGUGUGUCCAUCAUAGAUGAGGCGUCUUAAUAUCCGUUCUGUUCUUUACAGUUAGAAAAUAAAGUAAAAAUAAUUAUUAAUUUUAAUCUCAAGCAGCAUGGGUGCACUAAAGAAACCGAUUCUCGUUGAUGUUCGCUGAACCGGGACACUGUGAGCCACUCGUUGAACUCUUAAAGUGACAGUAACCUUUUUUUUAUAGUUUAUUAUACAAAUGAAUGUAAACUUUUUAUUUUUACA